ACGCUCGACACCUACGGGAUGCAGCAGUGAGGAAUAUUGGUCAAUGGGCGCUAGCCUGAACCAGCCAAGUAGCGUGAAGGAUGAAGGCUCUAUGGGUCGUAAACUUCUUUUAUAUAAGAAUAAAGUGCAGUAUGUAUACUGUUUUGUAUGUAUUAUAUGAAUAAGGAUCGGCUAACUCCGUUCCAGCAGCCGCGGUAAUCUGAGCGGGCGUGGCAAGGC
RNAcentral lists this ribosomal RNA (219 nucleotides) under uncultured bacterium. Its description in RNAcentral is "partial 16S ribosomal RNA". It matches the Rfam family "Bacterial small subunit ribosomal RNA", at positions 326 to 544 of the family's 1533-position model. The record is from RNAcentral.